This 90-nucleotide transfer RNA is filed under the name Actinomadura rubteroloni. Its description in RNAcentral is "Actinomadura sp. RB29 tRNA-Ser". The record is from RNAcentral. Lineage: Bacteria; Bacillati; Actinomycetota; Actinomycetes; Streptosporangiales; Thermomonosporaceae.
ACGGCGCGUGGUGAACGCGCUGCGCGAGCAGGGCGCGCGGCCGAUCGUGAUCACCGCGGCCGGACGGUUCCACGCCGUCGCGCCGGACCA